RNAcentral lists this long non-coding RNA (1641 nucleotides) under Sus scrofa (pig). RNAcentral's name for it is "lncRNA (ENSSSCG00045030742.1)". Lineage: Eukaryota; Metazoa; Chordata; Mammalia; Artiodactyla; Suidae. The record is from RNAcentral.
AAUAACCUCUGUUAGGAGACUGUUCAGUUUUUCACACUGCUGUCACACACACAAAAAAAUGCAACAUUCCACUAGCUGUUUCCAAAAGCUCUGGGUGACAAGACACACACACUCACUACGAAAAGUCCAGCAGGUGCCAAUUGGUGUUGCUGCAGCAAGAAAGAAUAACAACGAGAGCUGUGAAAGUCUCCACUAUUCUGGGAAAGAAUCGGGCAUCUCCCUACUUGGAUAACCACAGUAUUCUCUCAAACACAAGGCCUCUGUUUGAAUGCCACCCAAACACCGUAUUAAGCAGUAUUUUUAUUCCCAACCCUGGGACAAGAACGGAAGCUCUAGGAGACAGGCUGUGUCUGCAGGACUCAGAACUGCCUGGAAUGUGUCCAGAGGUGGGAUGCUGGAGAAGAGGACUUUCCACCUGCUCCCAGCAAGCAUCAUUCAGCCUCUUCUUGGACCUCCUUCAUCUUGGAUUGACGUCCAAAGAUCGUGGGGCUCAGACUAGCUUGUUAUGCGACAGUCAUCGCCAUCACUUGGGCAAAACGGAUGCUCAGGGAGCACUCACUCUGUGCCACAGGGUUGAUGUUCACGUAACACAGGUCACCUCAUUGAAUUUCGCCUUCCUCCCACCUUAAAAAAUAGAUAUUUAGGGGGAGGGAGUGGGAGGGAUCGGGAGCUUGGGCUUAUCAGACACAACUUAGAAUAGAUUUACAAGGAGGUCCUGCUGAAUAUCAUUGAGAACUAUGUCUAGAUACUCAUGUUGCAACAGAAGAAAGGGUGGGGGAAAAACUGUAAUUGUAAUGUAUACAUGUAAGGAUAACCUGACCCCCUUGCUGUACAGUGGGAAAAAAAAAAUAGAUAUUUAUCAUUUCUGUUAGGAAACAGAGACUCAACAGAGACAAACAACAUGGCCAAGGUCACAGCUGAAAUUUGACAGGACCCAGAUUCCCGCCCAGUCUGACCACAUCACCACACUAUUGCGCCAGUGAGCCCUUCCCCUGUGCCUGAUACCGUCGUCUUAAGGGGUCUAAUCCUGUCAAGUCUCAGCUCCUUUCUCCAGAUGAAAAAACGGAGUCUCAAGGGAGUUAUGCAUAAAUCGCCUGCUCAAGGUCAUAGUGCGCGUGAGUGGCACAAGUGGGUUUCAUCCAGGGCUGUCUGCAGCAUCGCACUUCCUCGCUUUAUGGAAGAAGAAAGAGAAGGAAAGAGGCCCAGGAGGAGGAGGAGGAGGCAAACUGAAACGCUGCAGAUCACUAAUUACUAAUCAGUGAGAAUGGUGGGACUUGAAUCAACACUGCCACCUUCACGAGAGCGUCACGGUGCCUCCGAGAAGUGUCCUGUGUCCCACCCCCACUCUGUGCACCGAGUGCAAAGCAGAUUAGGGAGAGUUCCUUUUUUUUUUUUUUUUUUUUUUUUUUAAAUAUCUAUUUGGCUGCACCCAUGGCAUGCAGAAGUUCCAGGGCCAGGGAUCGAACCCGAGCCACAGCAGUGACAACGCCAGACUCUUAAUCCGCUGAGCCACCAGGGAACUCCAAGAUUUCCCUUUCCGAUGCUGCCUGGGGCUGAGCAAGGUUCCUACUGAGCAAGGACCCUGGGCUGGUCUUUUUCCUAGGGCUGGGCUCACGUCAGGCAGCCUGGGAGCCAGGAAAG